AAAUUUUUAUAUAAUUAUAGGUUAAAUUUUAAUUAUUUAAAAUGUAUAGUUAUAAUUUUAAAUUUUGUUAAUCGAAUUAGAUUAGUACCUAAUUAGUCAAAAGUUAAAAAAGCAGAAGUAAAGUAAAAUUUAAACUGAAAGAAUAUUGGCAGAUUUUCUAAAUUAUCUUUGGAGGUUGAGUAAUAAUUGAGAACCCUCAUUAACUACUUUUUUAGUUGUCUCAUGUAUGAUCGUUUAUUAUAUGCUUAAGGGAUAUAAUUAAAAAUUUUUAUUUAAAAAAAUAGAUAUAUAUUUGGCUUAUAUAAAAGUAAUAUUUGACCUACAGUAAUUUGUAAUUGUGGAUCUAUUUUUUAGUAAAGUAGUGAAAAUGUAAAAGACAGUAAAAAAAUUUUUAUGAUUUUUUGAAGAUUAUUU
Molecule: ribosomal RNA, 414 nt
Filed under: Uncinaria lucasi
Lineage: Eukaryota; Metazoa; Nematoda; Chromadorea; Rhabditida; Ancylostomatidae
Description: partial 12S ribosomal RNA
Source: RNAcentral